UCUUCGCCUUCGCCCAACAUGCAUAUAACACAAUUUUGUUCAUCAUAACUAUUAGCUGACAAAUUUAUCAUAACAAUUCAUCCACAUACUUUCUGGGACGUAAUUUUUUUUAAAAAAAUAAAAUCUAUGAAUAGCAUAGCUUAUACACAUGUUUUUAUUGUCUAACAAAAUCUUAACAUAACUUGUUCUGAACAAACUUUGAAAUCUAAAAAUCAUUCCUUAUACAUAAAAGAAAAAAAUGAUAGGGUAAAAAAAAUCAAGGUGCAAGGUACAUAGGGGCGGGCACAGCGCCUCGGAGGGAGGGGAAAAAAGGAAAAAAAAAAGAAGGAAGAGUGAACCCAACUUCGGAACCACUUUGGUGAGGCGCGAUCGCUCCAUUCCAGGGCAAACGAUCGCCCUCACUCGUUCAGGAUUUGGGUACAGAAGUAGACUUGACCGAUGACCCCCACAAUCCACAAUAGUCCAGCCGGAGCUAACACGACAAUACUCAUCCCAGGUCCACGGUCGACUGCACAUCACAUUCGGUCUAUAUACAGUACAACGGCGGCACAGUGCGACAGCCCGGUCCAUUCACGGAAGCCAUGCCUACCCUUCUGGUCGUCGUCGUCGUCGUCCUCCUCUUGCCUAAUUGCAUCUCCGAUUCGGCGCAGGCCAACGACGCCGAGCUCCGAGCUCUCUUGGCCAUCAAGAAAGAUUGGGGCAGCCCAGCUGCCCUCAGGUCAUGGAAGAACAGCAGUGCCUCUGCUUCGUCCACUACCCACUGCACCUGGGCUGGGGUUGCAUGCAGCAGCAGCGGUCAAGUGACCGCCUUCUCCUUCCAAAACUUCAACAUAGGCCGCCCAAUCCCGGCGUCCAUUUGUAGUCUCAAGAACCUGGCGUACCUAGACCUCUCCUACAACAACCUCUCCGGCGAGUUCCCGGCGGCAGCGCUCCACGGCUGCUCGGCUCUGCGGUUCCUCGACCUGUCCAACAACAUCUUCUCCGGCGUCCUCCCGACUGACAUGGACAGGCUGUCUCCGGGGACGAUGGAGCACCUCAACCUGUCAAGCAACAGCUUUAGCGGCAGCGUGCCGUUGGCGAUCGCCGGGUUCCCGAAGCUCAAGUCGUUGGUCGUCGACACUAAUGGCUUCAACGGGAGCUACCCGGGCGCCGCCAUCGCCAACCUGACGCGGCUCGAGACGCUAACGCUGGCAAAUAACCCCUUCGCGCCGGGCCCUAUCCCCGAUGGCUUUGGCAAGUUGACGAAGCUCAAGUUGCUGUGGUUGUCAGGGAUGAACCUGACUCAUGGCAUCCCUGACACACUCUCGUCCCUCUCUCAGCUGACGGUGUUGGCUUUGUCAGACAAUAGCCUUCAAGGUGAGAUCCCGGCGUGGGUUUGGAAGCUUCAGAAGCUUGAGCUGCUUUAUCUUUACGGCAACAGAUUCACUGGUGCAAUCGGGCCAGAUGUCACCGCCAUGAACAUUCAAGAGAUCGACAUUUCCUCGAACUCGCUCACCGGGCCGAUACCGGAGAGCAUCGGCGAUUUGAGGAACUUGACGUUGCUCUUCCUCAACUUCAACAACAUCAGCGGGCCGAUUCCGUCGAGCGUCGGCUUGCUCCCGAACCUCGUGGACAUCCGGCUAUUCAGCAACAGUCUCUCUGGCCCCCUCCCGCCGGAGCUCGGUAAACACUCGCCACUGGCCAACCUGGAAGUGAGCAACAACUUCCUCACCGGCGAGCUCCCGGACACGCUCUGCUUCAACAAGAAGCUCUACGAUGUCGUGGUGUUCAACAACAGUUUCUCCGGCGCGUUCCCUGCGGGCUUUGGGGAGUGCAACACAGUGAACAACAUAAUGGCGUACAACAACCGCUUCACCGGAGAGUUCCCGGGGGCAGUAUGGUCGGAGUUCCCCGCGCUGACCACCGUCAUGAUACAGAACAAUAGCUUCGCCGGAGUCCUGCCAGCGGAGGUGUCAUCUAAGAUCACGAGGAUCGAGAUCGGAAACAACAGAUUCUCUGGCGCAAUACCGGCAUCUGCCACUGGCUUGGAAACAUUCAUGGCGGAGAACAACUGGUUCUCCCAUGGGCUUCCGGAGGACAUGUCCAAGCUCGCCAGCCUCAUUCAGCUAUCUCUUGCCGGGAACCAGGUCAGUGGAUCCAUACCAGCGUCCAUCAGAGCCCUUGAGAGGCUUAACUACCUCAAUCUCAGCGGCAACCAGAUAACAGGAGCGAUCCCGGCAGCGGCCAUUGGAUUGCUCCCCGUACUCAGCGUGCUUGACCUCUCAAACAACAAGCUCGACGGCGAGAUACCAGCGGAUUUCAACGAUCUCCAUCUCUCUCACCUGAACCUCUCGUUCAAUCAGCUCGUCGGAGAAGUGCCAACCACGCUAGAGAGCCCCGUGUUUGACGCCGCCUUCUUGGGCAACCCUGGCCUCUGCGCCAGACAGGGCUCCGGCAUGCUCCUCCAGACAUGCCCCCAUGGAGGAGGUCAUGGCUCCGCUUCCGCCAGAAUGAUCGUCGUCGUCCUAAUCGCGACAGUUUCCGGCGUUUCUGCCAUCGGCUUCGUCGCUGUCGUGGGAUGGUUCGUCCUCCGCCGCAACCGCAAGAGCGACUCGUGGAAGAUGAUACCAUUCGGGACCCUGAGUUUUAGCGAGCAGGACAUAAUCAGCAACAUGAGCGAGGAGAACGUGAUCGGCAGAGGCGGGUCAGGGAAGGUAUACCGCAUCCAUCUCGGCGGACACGAAGCAAGGGGACACGGCGGCGGGGCCGGUCACUCGACGACGACGGUGGCCGUGAAGAAGAUCGGCAACGACGUCGACGGCGCGAACCACGACAAGGAGUU
Molecule: long non-coding RNA, 2821 nt
Filed under: Zea mays
Lineage: Eukaryota; Viridiplantae; Streptophyta; Magnoliopsida; Poales; Poaceae
Description: long non-coding RNA (ZMAY_LNC002792)
Source: RNAcentral